This 581-nucleotide long non-coding RNA is filed under the name Monodelphis domestica (gray short-tailed opossum). RNAcentral describes it as "lncRNA (ENSMODG00000051465.1)". The record is from RNAcentral. Lineage: Eukaryota; Metazoa; Chordata; Mammalia; Didelphimorphia; Didelphidae.
AUGGGAAAGAAGUUUGUGUUUGAAAAUGGGAUUUUCAGAGAGUGAACUGAAAGGUCCCUCAAGAGGUCAAACUGAUUUGCUUAGAGUCAGAAUAUGUAUCAGCUGCAGAAUUUGGGCCCAAAUAAUUCUGCCUUCUGAAAGUAACCUUUUUCUCCUCGAGAUCCCACUGUUCCUGGUUAUGACAACAGCAACAAUUAUAUGAAUAACUUGUACAUCAUGGUUGAAUGCCAAGUAAGUUCCUUUUACAGAAGAAGAACUGAGGCAAACAGGGUUAUGUGCCUUAUUUAGGGUCACACAUCUGAGGCCAGAUUUGAACUUGAAAAGAUGUGUCUUCCUGACUUCGUGGCUGGCAUGCUAUUGUGGCGGAGAGAAAAAGAAGUCUGCAGAAAAGGCUGGAAAAGCAAAGACUCCAGAGGUGUCACUCAAGGAGAACAUUCUAAUUAGAAUGGUGACCAGAAAAGACUGUUGAGAAGGAUCAGAACAAAUUGAAAUCUGGCUCUCUUUGCUUUGAGGCAGAAAGGAAGAAGGGGGUCUCUUGGUUUGGGGAUGGAAAGAAAGAAGGACAAAGUCCAGCUUUCUCU